GCUUCGAUACGAAAUUCAAUUAUCACAAAUCAUUUACAUGAGCACAUAUCGAUAUUCGAUAUCGGAAUGUGUAACAAAAGAUCGUGUUUCACUUUCCACACUUCCGUUCGUUCGUGUUGAUUUAUUGAUGCAACGCCCCACGCAGCCCCGACUGUAAUCCUAAACUCCAAAACGAGAGCUCCAGGGAGAUGUCAAGCCCAAAAUAAAUACAUUUUUGAGGAAUCUUUCAACAAAAUCAUUUGCCACAAUACAAAUCAAAGCGUGGGACGUGGGCGCCUGCCGCUCAAUUGGCAAAAGGGAACGGCAAAUGCAUGUUGCACAUGUCGUUUCGGGAAUUUCGGAUUGGCAUAGUCCCCAAGCUGUGACACGGGCUUAGCACCCACGCCAGAAAACAGCUCGAGUCGAGCACAACAACUGAAUCUUUGCUUUCGUCCCGCACAUAGCCCGAGUCGAAUGUGAUAAUACAAUAAUAAAGUUUUCAACGCUUACAAACCAAUCACCCACAAGUCACAUGCCGAAUGCAGCAUGCCACAUGGCACAUGCAACUGCCAAGACACUGGCGUUGCAGCAAAGACUUUGUCAUUCCGCUUGGGAAGCUGCUCGCGUGACGUUUCCUCGGAUCGCAUCUCUCUGCGGCGCACUUUCAAUUGAUGAAUUUCAUGUUGAUGUGUUUAUAAUGUGGCUUAAGGCCUAAGAGGAUUGCUUUUUGUGGGAUUUUGAAUAGGAGUUGGAUUGCCAAAUGGAAAAGGUCAGAGUGCAAAGCAGAUACAUACUAGGGGAUAUGCUAGAUGAUCUAUGUGAAGGGAUCACAUACUAGGGUGCUUUAUUUUCAGAAGGAUUUCCAAGAUUAUCCUGAAUGCUUUACUUGAUGUAGUUUCAGUAUCAGUUUCCCAAAAGAGAAGAUUCAAAAUGCUCAAAAUCUGACUUGGCUGCUUGGCUUCCUAUAUACCAUCCGAUAUACCCUACACAUAACUCUCCCAAUUCCCUAAUAAAAUUAAAUUGAAACAGACAA
This is a long non-coding RNA of Drosophila mojavensis, 1012 nucleotides long. RefSeq lists it as uncharacterized. NCBI's taxonomy places the organism in Eukaryota, Metazoa, Arthropoda, Insecta, Diptera, Drosophilidae. The record is from RefSeq and is a predicted model, not a curated record. The transcript has 2 exons.